This is a non-coding RNA of Meleagris gallopavo (turkey), 4345 nucleotides long. NCBI's taxonomy places the organism in Eukaryota, Metazoa, Chordata, Aves, Galliformes, Phasianidae. The record is from RefSeq and is a predicted model, not a curated record.
AAAAAAAAAAGUGUAUCUCUCACAUAGAAGAAUUUGUCAAGCUUACUUAUAUAAAAUACAUUGUUCAUAUUGAUAUAAAGCAGCUGGCAGCAGGGAUAAAAAGAUUAUUUAAAAAUAUAUUAAUAUAUUUCCACAGGAAGUGUGAAAAAAUAAAUUCUUCUCAUUUCCAAUUAGCUCCAAAAAAUCUAGUUUUCUACAAUUCACGUUUUUACUCCCUUUCUUAUUCAGCCUAUAAAUAGUGAUUCCUCUUCUCUGGUUCUUUCAUCCCUAAUGUGAAUCCCUACUGCUGUUUAGCAAGUUCAUUCAGAUGAAAAUAAAAAGUAAAAAGUGUCGUCUUACAUGUUCUGUAGCCUGCAUGUGCAUAACGUUUGGUUCAGUUUGCUUAAGUCUCUGCCUGAUAAGCCUCAGAGACAGUGCCUCUGUUUGAAAGUUGUAAAGGAAAUAAUUGACACCAAAUAGUUUCCUGUCAUGGAAAAGAUACUUCUACACAGAUGCAGCCAGCUAAUGGCUGAGGCCAGAGUUGGAGCCAGCGAUGCAUGCCAGACCCCUUAUCUGAAGCUUCAUUUUAAACUGUCAAAUAAACUAGAUAAGUUAACAGCAGACUUUGUCACAGUGUUUUUAGGUCCAUGCCCUUUAAUUUAUUAUUUUUUUUUUUUAAGAGGAAAUUAAUAGAGGAUGCUAGACAAUUUCUUUCACAUUGUUUUUUUUCUAUUUUUUUACUGUUCCUACUUUUUUCAUUCUAAUAGUUGGAUGAAAGUUGUCCUGCUUCUAUCUCCCGUCUAUGAUAAUUACAAGUCAAGAAACCCCAUUGGUCUUUACAUUAUGACAACUCUCUCAAACUCUUUACUUACUUGCAUCUUCCAGAACCCCAGGCAAAUGCUGUCUGAUGGGGAAGCCUCAUAGAGCUAAAGUGAUAAAUUCCACUGAGAUGUAGACAGCACCAUCAAAUCCUAGCACAAGAAACAGAAGAAGAUAAUGUGUCCUGCUUAAAGAGAUACCAUGGCACACAAGAUGCUGUCCAAGCUCAUGGUAGAUAUCUAGAUUAGAAGACUCAUUCCCAGCUCUACAGCUGCCAUGUAUAUGCCUGCCUCUGGAACUUAACCAGCGUGGCAGACCAGCAAUGUGACUGGAACCUCGUUACAAAAGGAGGAAUCCUGGCAGUGUCCUGGCACGCUCCUCAGAUUGUUGCACCAACACAUGCCAGUCUUUAUCUGAAAAGCAGACAGAAGGAACAGUUAGGGUUUCAGUCUGACCUCAGUAGGGUCUGCAUUCUGUCCCAGGCAGUGCACAGCCUCUGUCUCUGCUCACUGUCAAUGCUGUGCUGUGGACUGCUGUUGUUGCCUGGGGAAAAAGAAUGGGUAAGGAGCUUGGGAACUGAUGAUGCUGUGAAAAGGAAGGUAGCACCAUAUGAUGUAAGAUAGGUGCACUGUGUAUUGCUAUUUUUUGCAUUCACGGAUGCAGCCAUCACUGUGCAGUUAAUAACAAAGGCUGGUUGUAAGUGACAUAACAUGAUGUAUUCUACGAAUGCAAAGUGGUUGGAUUGUAAUUAGUCAUGUGAUAACUAUACAUGGGAUGUUUUAUGCUCAGAUAUGUUUACAUACAAGCUGACAAACAAAGAGAUUGAGAUACAGUUCCUGUGAUUUUUUAGGUAUCUGUGAUAAAUUAAUGACUGUGGAAGCAAGCCAAAGAGUUUCAGAGUCAGAACAAAAGAAGUUGCUCAAACAACCAGCACAUUUUUCAUUCUAAUAGUUGGACAAAAGCUGGCCAGCUUCUGCUUGCCAUCUCUGUGGCUUCCAAGUCAAGGAUCUCCAUGGGUCUCUAUAUUAUGACAACUCAUUACUCCAAACUCUUUAGGUAUUUGCAUUCUCCAGAGCAUUAGGCAAAUGGUGUUUCAUGGGGAAGCCUCACAGAGUUCAAGGUAUGUAGAAAUGUAUAUAUGUCCAUUUAAAUGCAAAGUUUAGAACGGGGAUGAGGUGAAGGAAUGAAGACUGCAUGUACUGGCAGAAAAUGAAAAUGUGUGUAGUUGCUCAAACAGUCAGAAGGUUUUGGCAUACUGACUUCACCUGUAUGGACUAAAUACUAUUGCAAAUGUAGUCUAAAAUGCUCCUUGCAUGCAAUGCCCUGUAAUUUUUAAUGUGCUUAGUAAAGAUUUCAUUAAAAGAAUAAACUCGUGGUUCCACCAUAAGGAAGUAGUUUACAAAGAAGCCCUUUGAAAUUUAAAUCAGAUAGUUUUCUGCCUAAUGAUCUCCACAGUUACAGGGAGAGAAGGGUAUGUUUUAUAUUCAAAAUAGUACAGGAUGUAUUAUGAAAGGUAGGGAAGUGAAAACAGAUGAAUAACUCUUGCUAUGUGUAGCCAGCAGAAAACAUACAGAGAUGAAGCAAGAGUCAGAUUCCUUCUGGACUACCUGCAGGUCUUCAGGAGAAAGAGCAUGAGAGUGGAAGUCAAAAAUUACCAUCUUCAGUGCCAGUGCUUUGCACUGAGUUUCCUGUGUAAUGCUGAAUACGUCAGAUCAUGACUCAGUUUUUCUCCUUCGAAAUGUGAAUAAUAUUCCCUUACCUUGUACACUGUGAGAUGUAGCUUAUUAGUACAGUAACUGCUUUGCAAGUUGCAGGAGGUAGAAGCUACAGUUGGCAGAGUAAUGGCAUACAGUGACACAUGAAAUGACAUAAUCAGAACUGUAAAGUCAGAAUUGAAUAUAAAGUACUUCAUUAAAACUUGACCCACAUUGUCAAGUGUUCCCUUUACAGAUUACUAACAGUAAACUGGCUUCUAAAAGCAAGGAACUCUUCCAAGGCUGUUCUUCUAUUGCAAGAUGUUUUCGGAUUCUGCUUGUUCUAAAAGUCAUUUAUCACCAUUUACAAUACUGAAGAAAUUUCUCUGUAAGAUCAAUGAUUAUUACACAUUCUGUUAAGAUUUCCAGUUGUAGAAACACAGUAUGACAGUAGCAUAAAAAGCACAAACUGUCUUCAUACUGCUUCAUACUACAAAAAUAAUUCCCACUUUAAUGAAGCAGCAAAACAUUAUUAGGAGAAGCAAUGUGAUAAAGCUAAAUAAAAUUAGGAAAGAAGUAUCCAAAAAUUAUCCAAAAUUAGGAAAGAAGAUUCCAAAAAUUAGUUUAAUUACUUCUACAGACGCUUAUGUGCAGUUCACACCGAAGUCAGCUAGAGUGGUUGGCAUGUGUAUAACCAAAGAUAACAUUCACAAUACAAGAGGGAUGCCUCUUACACAGUGUGCAGAGCUGGCUUCUUUAAAAGGAUCUUUGAUUUAAAAAUCAUGAGACCAAAACUAAUUGGUAAUGAUCUGCAAGAAAAGUAAUACUGCCAGGAAAGCUUGGUGAUGGUAAACAAUUAAGAAAUAAAUGUGAAGUCCUGAGAAAAUGCCUGAACCAAUGCACAGGCAUGUACAAUUGUUGCAGUAAAAUUAAAGCAAUCCAAUUCACUGGGCAUAACUGUGGAAAAGCUGUUGCCCCUGGGGUUGAACUCAGUCCUUUUAGUUUAACAUGAGUUUUGCUUGAUUAGGUAAAAAAAAUACAUAAUCAGAUAUUCUGUUGGGGACUUUUUAAAAGCUUGUGUUUAUAUUGUAAGUGGGAAAAAAAAAAAAGCAAACUAAAAUGGCCUUAUUGCUAUACAGGAACAUAGAGGCAUUUCUUAGGAAGAGAGCUUUUUGGUGAAACAUCUUCCAGCUGGUUAUGGCAAACAGAAGUAGAAAUGCAAAUGGCAGCAGUUUGUAGCCUGAGUAGAGUUAACAAGAAUUGUCCCCUCUAGAGUCAGAUUAUGGUCACUGUAACACCAAUGUAAAUCUGAAGUAAUCCCUCUGAUUUCUAUGUGAAUACUCUGGUGGAACUGUGAAUAGCAGCAUAUGUGAUGAGAAUUAUACCCUUUGGAUUUUUACAGAUAAACAGAAGAGAUUUUUCUUAGUAUGGAAAUGCAUUCUGGCACCAUUAAGGAUAGUACAGUAUUAGAUGUAUUUUCUUAAUUUUUUUCUUUUGAAUUUCCAGUUUUUACAGACAGUCCACUUCUUUCACUCUCUGAAUUCUCUCACUGUGUUUCCUUGCGAUCGAUACUCAACCUUUCGUUGCUGGUUGUUUUUAAGCACUCAGUGAUCCAACAGGCAUGUCUGUGUUUUCUAUCAUGCUCUCUUCAUCCAUGAACUUCUUCAUGUUUACCAAGUUAUCCUUUUACCACCUGAAAUCUCAGCUGUUUAUGUAUGCCCUGCUGCUACCAAAAACUGAUGUGAUCCAGUUUUGCCCCUGAAAAGAUGGCACUGAGAAUAUAAAAAGCAUACAGAAUAGACAGGAACUGCAAAAACAAUCUUAGAUAACAAUGAAGAGAAUCUGUGGUUAAA